GUUUUGUUUGUUAGGCGACGCAGAGGCCGCAGUCAUUCUUUUUGAGUUUGGGUUUGUUAAACGGCUUCGGACCAAAGGGCUCUCGCCCCAGGCCCUCUGCCGUGAGUGUGCACGGUGGGUUUGUAAGGUUUGGACAGCGACGCCAGCCCGCUGCACGGCCUCUCGACCGGAGCAGGGCGGACGCGCCGCCAGAGAUACGUUAAUGAUCCUUCCGCAGGUUCACCUACGGAAA
This 232-nucleotide unclassified non-coding RNA is filed under the name uncultured fungus. RNAcentral's name for it is "sequence contains ITS1". The record is from RNAcentral. Lineage: Eukaryota; Fungi.